GGAUCUCUAUUUAUAGGCAGAGGCUGAGAUGCCCUGAGGAGGAAGGAGAAUCAGAUUAUUAGUCUCGUCUGAUUGGAUAAGAUAUGAUUGUUUUCUCCUGUCUUAUCUAGUGAGAUAUAUUUGUUAUCCUCUGCUCUAUCUAGAGAGAUACGUUAUUAUCUCCUUCUUUAUCUGUUCAUAACAUAUUGUUAUGUGGAUUUUGAGAUUUUUCUUACUUGGAUCGGCCAGCAUCA
This 233-nucleotide long non-coding RNA is filed under the name Elaeis guineensis (African oil palm). RNAcentral's name for it is "long non-coding RNA (EGUI_LNC021656)". Lineage: Eukaryota; Viridiplantae; Streptophyta; Magnoliopsida; Arecales; Arecaceae. The record is from RNAcentral.